This 497-nucleotide ribosomal RNA is filed under the name uncultured bacterium. Its description in RNAcentral is "partial 16S ribosomal RNA". It matches the Rfam family "Bacterial small subunit ribosomal RNA", at positions 28 to 507 of the family's 1533-position model. The record is from RNAcentral.
GAUGAACGCUGGCGGCGUGCCUAAUACAUGCAAGUCGAGCGAACAGACGAGGAGCUUGCUCGUCUGACGUUAGCGGCGGACGAGUGAGUAACAAGUGGAUAACCUACCUAUAAGACUUGGAGGACAUCGGGAAAACAGAGCGAAUACCGGGUAAUAUAUUGAACCGGAUGGUUCAAGAGUGAGAGACGGUUUUGCUGUCACUUGUAGAUGGAUCCGCGCCGCAUUAGCUAGUUGGUAAGGUGACGGCUUACCAAGGCAACGAUGCGUAGCCGACCUGAGAGGGGGAUCGGCCACACUAGAACUGAGACACGGUCCAGACUCCUACGGGAGGCAGCAGUAGGGAAUAUUACGCAAUGGGCGGAAGCCGGAUGGAGCAACGCCGCGUGGGUGAUGAAGGUCUUCGGAUCGUAAAACUCUGUUAUUAGGGAAGAACAAAUGUGUAAGUAACUAUGCACGUCUUGACGGUACCUAAUCAGAAAGCCACGGCUAACUACGUG